RNAcentral lists this ribosomal RNA (401 nucleotides) under Klebsiella pneumoniae. Its description in RNAcentral is "partial 23S ribosomal RNA". It matches the Rfam family "Bacterial large subunit ribosomal RNA", at positions 146 to 585 of the family's 2925-position model. RNAcentral also lists the same sequence under 4 other names. The record is from RNAcentral. Lineage: Bacteria; Pseudomonadati; Pseudomonadota; Gammaproteobacteria; Enterobacterales; Enterobacteriaceae.
CACUAUCGUUAACUGAAUACAUAGGUUAACGAGGCGAACCGGGGGAACUGAAACAUCUAAGUACCCCGAGGAAAAGAAAUCAACCGAGAUUCCCCCAGUAGCGGCGAGCGAACGGGGAGCAGCCCAGAGUCUGAAUCAGCUUGUGUGUUAGUGGAACGGUCUGGAAAGUCCGACGGUACAGGGUGAUAGUCCCGUACACCAAAAUGCACAGGUUGUGAACUCGAAGAGUAGGGCGGGACACGUGGUAUCCUGUCUGAAUAUGGGGGGACCAUCCUCCAAGGCUAAAUACUCCUGACUGACCGAUAGUGAACCAGUACCGUGAGGGAAAGGCGAAAAGAACCCCGGCGAGGGGAGUGAAAAAGAACCUGAAACCGUGUACGUACAAGCAGUGGGAGCACCUU